UCAGCAUCUUCUCUAGUGUGCUUAGGAGAUGAAGCUGUGCCUUGCGGAUGAACUUGGUUUAAACCCAGACGAAACCAUGAGUUAUUAGUGAAAGCCUGAUUGCUGGUAGUUUGACGCUGCAGUUGUAAUGUUAAUAGGCAGGGAGAGAAGGAUGCGGGAAGCAGGUGUGUGACUUCUGUGAACAGCGACAGCACAGGCGUGUGUGACCCUAGGAAUCCAGGGCACAGCAAAGCCUUUGCUUCUGAUCCAGCCUAUUGGUCUCAGAGGAGCUUCCUAAAGGACGAGAACGGCAUGCUCAUCUCCGCAGGAUCCAGCAGUUCCGUGGGCCAGCCUGAAAACCAUGUGGGAAAGUGCUGGCCCUUGCUGGGAAGUCAGGGACAAGCCUUCAUCAAGCUGUCUGUGCCAAUCCUUCCCAGAGCAGUCACCAUGGACCACGUUUCAGGACAACGUUCCCUGGAGACAGUAUCUGCAGAGCUCCAAAGGACAUGGCUGUCUACUGUGUGAGGCGCUCUGGUUUCUCCACCCCCGUGUUUCUCUUGGGCCUGA
Phalacrocorax carbo (great cormorant) is the source of this 546-nucleotide non-coding RNA. The record is from RefSeq and is a predicted model, not a curated record. Lineage: Eukaryota; Metazoa; Chordata; Aves; Suliformes; Phalacrocoracidae.